Molecule: long non-coding RNA, 592 nt
Organism: Oncorhynchus nerka (sockeye salmon)
Lineage: Eukaryota; Metazoa; Chordata; Actinopteri; Salmoniformes; Salmonidae
Exons: 3
Source: RefSeq, a predicted model, not a curated record
UGCAAGCCUGCGAUUACCCACUCGGAAUACGCCGUCUGUCUGGCGCUCUGUGGUUCUGUUCCUUCGCGAAUCAGUGAGCAGAGAUCACGAGGUAGAUAGGUGGGUUUUAUGAGGUUAUCACGAAAGCUCCCGAGACCAGAGGAACGCCCGCAAGGUGAAAUGACACAAUAUAUCAUCUGCAUCCUGAGAGGAGGUCUGCGUUGCGUAAAAGAAGCGGAUGAUUGAGGAUAAACUGGGAGGUUUCCCGUGUCUCGGGGUGAUUCCAGUGUCUCAGGAGUCGCGUCUGAGCGGUAAUAGACGAGAGAGACCUAGAGAGAAUAGGUUGUUUGCGCUCCCGGGAGGUCCCGCUCUGCAUGAAAAGGAGCGAUGCAAAAGAGAUUCCCAAGAAGGAUUCCCGAUCUGCGGCCCCUUUUCCGGCGUCUUUUCUUCACGCAAAAAGGUGUGGAUCUGGGCCUGUUCCAGUGAAAGCAGGAUAUCCUCCUCGUCCGACUCGUGAAAGGAAAACGUUUCUUCUUGUCCGCGAUAAGAAGCAAGGCGGCUCCACGGCACCACAGAUUCACUCCAGUGAUCAGAGAGAGAGAGAGAGACAGAG